Herpailurus yagouaroundi (jaguarundi) is the source of this 412-nucleotide long non-coding RNA. RefSeq lists it as uncharacterized. Lineage: Eukaryota; Metazoa; Chordata; Mammalia; Carnivora; Felidae. The record is from RefSeq and is a predicted model, not a curated record. The transcript is spliced from 2 exons.
CCUGAACUCCUGUACUAAGUGGCUUUGGAAGAAACACUGCAGUUCCACUAGGAGGAGCACUGAACACGGGCAGACUUGCAUAAUUUCCAGAAACUAUGGCCAGGAACGCAGCUGAGAGACGAUGGCAGUUUUGAGCAUCUGGACCAGUGUAUUGAGAGAAGAUUCUUGCAAAGAUCCCCAGCACUUCUCUGGGGGGUAUAAAAUCAGCCAUGAUAAAUAUGCACCCUCCAAAAAAAUCCUCAGUUUCUUCCAGGUUCUUUAAUGUAUGAAAUAGAUAACAGUUUCCAUUUCUGAUGGCAAAACCCAUAAAAUAUCUUGUCUCAGGGUACCAUCCUGGACAUUUAUUACUCACAGAUGUGAAAAAAAUGUUUUUCCCUCAUCAAAUAUCAUUGGAAUUGAAAGUUCAAAUGUA